GAGUUUGAUCUUGGCUCAGGACGAACGCUGGCGGCGUGCUUAACACAUGCAAGUCGAACGGUGACCUCGGAGCUUGCUCCGGGUGAUCAGUGGCGAACGGGUGAGUAACACGUGAGCAACCUGCCCCCGACUCUGGGGAUAACCCCGGGAAAUCGGAGCUAAUACCGGAUACGAGACGCACAGGCAUCUGUUGCGUCUGGAAAGAAUUUCGGUCGGGGAUGGGCUCGCGGCCUAUCAGCUAGUUGGUGGGGUAGUGGCCUACCAAGGCGAUGACGGGUAGCCGGCCUGAGAGGGCGACCGGCCACACUGGGACUGAGACACGGCCCAGACUCCUACGGGAGGCAGCAGUGGGGAAUAUUGCACAAUGGGCGCAAGCCUGAUGCAGCGACGCCGCGUGAGGGAU
Molecule: ribosomal RNA, 403 nt
Filed under: uncultured microorganism
Description: bacterial SSU rRNA
Rfam family: Bacterial small subunit ribosomal RNA
Source: RNAcentral